ACUAGCUUGCUAGUAGGCGUCGAGUGGCGGACGGGUGAGUAACGCGUAGGAAUCUACCUGAUAGUGGGGGAUAGCCCGAAGAAAUUCGGAUUAAUACCGCAUAAUCUAUUCGUAGUAAAGUGGGGGACUUUCGAGCCUCACGCUAUCAGAUGAGCCUGCGUAAGAUUAGCUAGUUGGUAGGGUAAAAGCCUACCAAGGCGACGAUCUUUAGCUGGUCUGAGAGGAUGAUCAGCCACAUCGGGACUGAGACACGGCCCGAACUCCUACGGGAGGCAGCAGUGGGGAAUAUUGGACAAUGGGGGCAACCCUGAUCCAGCAAUACCGCGUGUGUGAAGAAGGCCUGAGGGUUGUAAAGCACUUUCAAUUGUGAAGAAAAGCUAGUGGUUAAUAGCCAUUAGCCUUGACGUUAACUUUAGAAGAAGCACCGGCUAACUCCCUGCCAGCAGCCGCGGUAAUACGGAGGGUGCAAGCGUUAAUCGGAAUUACUGGGCGUAAAGCGUGCGUAGGCGGUUUAUUAAGUCAGAUGUGAAAGCCCCGGGCUUAACCUGGGAACUGCAUUUGAAACUGGUCAACUAGAGUAUGGUAGAGGAAAGUGGAAUUUCUGGUGUAGCGGUGAAAUGCGUAGAUAUCAGAAGGAACAUCAAUGGCGAAGGCAACUUUCUGGACCAAUACUGACGCUGAGGUACGAAAGCGUGGGUAGCAAACAGGAUUAGAUACCCUGGUAGUCCACGCCGUAAACGAUGAUAACUAGCCGUUGGGGGGAUUUACCCUUAGUGGCGAAGCUAACGCGUUAAGUUAUCCGCUGGGGAGUA
RNAcentral lists this ribosomal RNA (812 nucleotides) under uncultured Gammaproteobacteria bacterium. RNAcentral describes it as "bacterial SSU rRNA". It matches the Rfam family "Bacterial small subunit ribosomal RNA", at positions 74 to 882 of the family's 1533-position model. The record is from RNAcentral. Lineage: Bacteria; Pseudomonadati; Pseudomonadota; Gammaproteobacteria.